UCGAGUGUGGUUCGCGUGUUUUGCGCCCAUCGUUAUGCUGGCAUCUUUACUGCCAGCAUCGGAACCGGCCAUCAUCCGCUUAACGUGCGAAGCUGUCGAUGGCAAGUGUUUGCUCAAAAACAUCUACGCCACCGACGAGGAUCGCUUCAAGGAGAUUCGUAACGAAGGGUAUCAGGAUUGGAUUGAGUUUUUCGACAGCCACAUUCAUACGCUGCCGCCGAUUCCGUACAUCCGCCGAGUGAAAGCGGAUGCCAUCAAUCUGGUGCGCAUCGAAGAAAACACCUUCAGCACGAUCAACGGGCUCGACGUUUCCUUCAACCGUUUGCGUGAAAUAUCUCCGAAAGCUUUCGAGUGGCCCGAGGAGCUCCGUGAGCUCACUCUAAAGGGUAACCCAACGCUCAAAGACUUUGCCUUCCUUCGGUCGCUUACUGGACUCAGAGAGUUGGACAUGUCCGAGAUGAAGCUUGAGCUGGACUUGAUCGACAUCCAAACGUUCUCGAAGAUGGCGCAAUUGACUAGGUUGGACAUGAGCGACAACCGCAUCUCAACGGUGCCGGUGGGCAUGUUUGCGCAUCUCACUAGCCUUAGAUCGCUCGAUUUGAGCAGUAAUUCGAUAGCCAAAAUUGCUUCGGGAGCCUUUGCUAUCAACGGCCAGGGGAUAGAGUUCAACCUGUCGAACAACAGCAUCAGCAUCAUCGAGAACAACGCAUUCACGCACGCCUCAAAGAUCGACCUCCAAAACAACAAGCUCCUCGGUGUCGGCCCUUAUGCGUUCGACAACCAGACGUACCUGCGCACGCUAAUCAUAUCUGGCAGCGUACAGUUGAAGAAUUUCGACUUCCUACACAACCUACCGUACCUGUACAGCCUCGAAAUGUCCCGCAUGAACUUCUCGUUCGACGGCGUGCCACGCAACAUCUUCGACGAUCUCGCUUCCCUCGCCUCGCUAGAUUUGUCGCACAAUCUAGUUACCGAGCUACCGAUUGGCAUUUUCGCUGAGCUGCAGUCGCUCAACUUUGUAAACCUUCGCCACAACCUCAUCUGGCACGUGGAGUUUGGCACGUUCUCGAUGCGCAAGUACGACCUGAUCGACGAGAUCGACCUAUCGUACAACGAGAUCAAGGAGAUGAACUUUCUCGUGUUCGUACCGCUCAAGUACCUGAAAACUUUACUGCUGCACGGGAAUAAAAUAACCUACGUCAAUGCGAAGCAGCUGACGCGAAACAAAAGCCUCCAAAGCUUUGGCAUCCAGAACAAUUUGGUGCGCUGCUACGAUUUGAUCGAUCUGCUCGGUUCGCUCAAGCUGGUCCUCGAUCAGGGAGAAUUUAUCUCCGACCGACCGAACGUCGAUGGUAUCAAGUGCGAGCCGUAACAACCCGGAUGUAGUAGCACACAACAUAAAACGGUACUGAAAUCAACGGAAUAUCCUUAUACUUUUACUUCACAUACGCUGAAACUCCCAUCAUCAUGUGACAGUUGCAAAAAGCGCCGCGAAAUCUGUGGAAAGGCGUCAGCUCCAUAUCUGUUUGUCGAAUCAAUCAACGUAGUCAAUCUAAUCAGUAACCUAGCAACGCGAUGCCCACCAACCGCCAUCGUUGGGCGGUUUAUUUACUUGCUCCCGGUUGAUGUGGCGGAUUAAUGAGUCGAUCAAUAUGUUGUUUCUAGACCGGCCGACCGACCACCGUACGCCUCGUGUCACCCAAAAACGCGAUAUCGAUUUUCACACCAAAGGAUCAACAAUGGCAUCAAUUAUCUUUCCGGUGGUUUUCGUGGUCACAACCCGUUUUGUUUACUAACUACAAUCGGAAGCCACACUCAGUUCCCAUGUGUCCACGCGUCCAUAGAUUUCGAGUAGGAUCAACAAUGUGGUUACGGAUUUCAACAAUAUCGCACCUACCACUUGCCCCUGUAUAUUUAAAGUUUUGCCAUAAUUUGACAUCGCGUGAAUGACACCAUAACUUUAACUCACGUAGGAGUUUAAUUAUUACUGUGGCUGACUGCAAUUCCGCCGGAUUGUCGUGGUUGCGAAACAAUACUCGUCGAUAGCGUUGUUCACCUAGCCAUUCGCUGUAUGGAUCUCGCCCCGGGGUCCGCAGCCUCCGUAGACUUCAUGGCGCCACAAAACAUCCGGCUCAUGGCGCCCCCAAAACAUGGCCUUCGCAAGCGUCAGAACACCCAUUCUUAACCACACUUCACGUUCGAACAUGCACUGGCCGUGUUGCUGUGGCCCCAUUUAGCGAUUUGCAUAAUUCGAUUUACAGGUACAAAAAAUGCAAACAUUAGCACAACGAGCCACGGAUCAUUCCGAUCGAAAACCAUCGCCGGGGCGCGGUGCGUGGAGUUUGACUAACCCAUUACUAGAGAGAACGGACGUGCGGGCAGUGCUAAGACCCGGAACGUUUAUCCAAUAAACGGAGCGUCCGGAGGGAACUCGUAGCCGAGUGGAGCAAAUUCGGGAACCAAAAAACAACCAAAUUGCUGUCCAUGGUCAGCAAUUUACAUCGCCAAACGGUCGGGCCAUGUGCACCGGAUCCGCAGCAAAUCCGCACCAUCUUCCCACUAACCGGCAACCGGCGGCGGGUUAUUACCGACACUGGACUCUCUGGUUGGGUUGGGUGGUACCACUUGGGCCCCACGGGAGGUCUUUGUGGGUUUUAUUUCGUUUUAUCAUCCAACGUGGAAGUGAGUUAGCCAGCGCUCGGCGUAACGAAAUCACCCUCUCCGCAUGCUGCCCGUUCGCUUGUGGACACCGCAAACCCCGUUCCCUAGAGGGCCAGCAGGAUGGUCGACCAUCCUGGUGCCCGAUAACGGCACCGGGUUUCACGCCGGAACAGUGCGAAUUGGCGUGUGAAUAGUUCGCGGAUUGGAAGCGAGCGCUGAAUUUUAAUUAAUUUCCAAAUAAAUUACUUUAAUCGAUUUC
Molecule: RNA transcript, 2920 nt
Organism: Anopheles bellator
Lineage: Eukaryota; Metazoa; Arthropoda; Insecta; Diptera; Culicidae
Gene name: leucine-rich repeat-containing G-protein coupled receptor 4-like
Exons: 2
Source: RefSeq, a predicted model, not a curated record